Molecule: ribosomal RNA, 252 nt
Filed under: uncultured bacterium
Lineage: Bacteria
Description: partial 16S ribosomal RNA
Rfam family: Bacterial small subunit ribosomal RNA
Source: RNAcentral
UACGGAGGGUGCAAGCGUUAUCCGGAUUCACUGGGUUAAAGGGUGUGUGAGCGGGUCUGUAAGUCAGUGGUGAAAUCUCCGAGCUCAACUUGGAAACUGCCAUUGAUACUAUAGAUCUUGAAUUUUGUUGAGGUAGGCGGAAUAUGUCAUGUAGCGGUGAAAUGCAUAGAUAUGACAUAGAACACCGAUUGCGAAGGCAGCUUACUAAGCAAAUAUUGACGCUGAGGCACGAAAGCGUGGGGAUCAAACAGG